Molecule: transfer RNA, 73 nt
Filed under: Gemmatimonas sp.
Lineage: Bacteria; Pseudomonadati; Gemmatimonadota; Gemmatimonadia; Gemmatimonadales; Gemmatimonadaceae
Also listed under: 4 other names
Rfam family: tRNA
About the family: Transfer RNA (tRNA) molecules are approximately 80 nucleotides in length.
Source: Rfam by way of RNAcentral
GCCCCGUUCGUCUAGUGGCCUAGGACAUCGCCCUCUCACGGCGAAAACAGGGGUUCGAUUCCCCUACGGGGUA